This 256-nucleotide ribosomal RNA is filed under the name uncultured bacterium. RNAcentral describes it as "partial 16S ribosomal RNA". It matches the Rfam family "Bacterial small subunit ribosomal RNA", at positions 524 to 776 of the family's 1533-position model. The record is from RNAcentral.
CACGUAGGGGCCAAGCGUUGUCCGGAUUUAUUGGGCGUAAAGAGCUCGUAGGCGGCUUGUCGCGUCGACUGUGAAAACCCGCGGGCUCAACCGCGGGCUUGCAGUCGAUACGGGCAGGCUAGAGUUUGGUAGGGGAGACUGGAAUUCCUGGUGGUAGCGGUGGAAUGCGCAGAUAUCAGGAGGAACACCGAUGGCGAAGGCAGCUCGCUGGGACGGUGACUGACGCUGAGGCGCGAAAGCUAGGGGAGCAAACGGG